Molecule: ribosomal RNA, 274 nt
Filed under: uncultured bacterium
Lineage: Bacteria
Description: partial 16S ribosomal RNA
Rfam family: Bacterial small subunit ribosomal RNA
Source: RNAcentral
AUACGGAGGGUGCAAGCGUUAUUUGGAAUCACUGGGCGUAAAGGACGCGUAGGCGGGUUGGCAAGUCAGAUGUGAAAUCCUACAGCUUAACUGUAGAACUGCAUUUGAAACUGCUAACCUAGAGUAUGGGAGGGGGAGAUGGAAUUAGUGGUGUAGGGGUAAAAUCCGUAGAUAUCACUAGGAAUACCGAAAGCGAAGGCGAUCUCCUGGAACAUAACUGACGCAAAGGCGUGAAAGCGUGGGGAGCAAACAGGAUUAGAAACCCUAGUAGUCC